CUAUCGAGAACAGAGUAUAAACGAGAAGGGAGCAAGCAUAAAAAGGAAAAAUAAAACAAAGCAUCCAAUGAACGGGUGGGAAGAAUCAGAAGAAAACGAGAUCCGAGAAUGUGACUCAGACACACAUAGGAAAGCUAUGAAGAAUUAAAUCACUCUCAAUCAAGUAGCAUAUGAAGAACAAAGCAUGGUUCAUUCAUAUUACAAUCACCAUAAUACUAGUGAAAUCAACCACAAUAAAUAUAUAGUCUAGUACGCGUACCUGAAAAAAAACUUCCCUUCCAACGAGACUUAUGUAUCCAGAUUCUCUACUUCAUCUUCCCCCUCUGUAGCCUCCUUUCCCCAGAUAAAAAUCUCUCUCUGUUCUCCUUUUUU
RNAcentral lists this long non-coding RNA (372 nucleotides) under Vitis vinifera (wine grape). RNAcentral describes it as "long non-coding RNA (VVIN_LNC007688)". The record is from RNAcentral. Lineage: Eukaryota; Viridiplantae; Streptophyta; Magnoliopsida; Vitales; Vitaceae.